Molecule: ribosomal RNA, 433 nt
Filed under: uncultured bacterium
Lineage: Bacteria
Description: partial 16S ribosomal RNA
Rfam family: Bacterial small subunit ribosomal RNA
Source: RNAcentral
AACGAACGCUGGCGGCAUGCCUAACACAUGUAAGUCGAACGAGACCUUCGGGUCUAGUGGCGCACGGGUGCGUAACGCGUGGGAACCUGCCCUUAGGUUCGGAAUAACUCCCCGAAAGGGGUGCUAAUACCGGAUAAUGUCUUCGGACCAAAGAUUUAUCGCCUUUGGAUGGGCCCGCGUUGGAUUAGCUAGUUGGUAGGGUAAAAGCCUACCAAGGCGACGAUCCAUAGCUGGUCUGAGAGGAUGAUCAGCCACACUGGGACUGAGACACGGCCCAGACUCCUACGGGAGGGAGCAGUGGGGAAUAUUGGACAAUGGGCGAAAGCAUGAUCGAGCUAUGCCGCGAGAGUGAUGAAGGCCUUAGGGUUGUAAAGCGCUUUUACCCGGGAUGAUAAUGACAGUACCGGGAGAAUAAGCUCCGGCUAACUACGUG